UUAAUCGAGCUCACUGAUGGAAUAGUGGGUCGAAGGACGUAGGCUGUAACUUAGGCAAAUCCGGGUUGCAAUAGGCCGAGAUCUUACAGGCUCCUGACACUCUUCGGAGGAGAGGGAGAAUCGAUGAUACUGUCGUGCCAAGAAAAGCCACUAAGUAUAUUGUAUGUUGCCCGUACCGUAAACCGACACAGGUGGGUGGGAUGAGUAUUCUAAGGCGCGUGGAAGAACCCUGGUUAAGGAACUCUGCAAACUAGCACCGUAUCUUCGGUAUAAGGUGUGCCUACUUUGGUAUAUGGACUUGCUCCAAAAAGCUAGAGAGGUUGCAACAAAGAGUCCCUCCCGACUGUUUACCAAAAACACAGCACUUUGCUAACACGUAAGUGGAUGUAUAAGGUGUGACGCCUGCCCGGUGCUCGAAGGUUAACUGAUGAUGUCAGCGCAAGCGAAGCAUUUGAUUGAAGCCCGAGUAAACGGCGGCCGUAACAAUAACGGUCCUAAGGUAGCGAAAUUCCUUGUCGGUUAGAUACCGACCUGCAUGAAUGGCGUAACGAGAUGGGAGCUGUCUCAACCAGGGAUCCAGUGAAAUUGUAGUGGAGGUGAAAAUUCCUCCUACCCGCGGAAAGACGGAAAGACCCCGUGCACCUUUACUACAGCUUGACACUGUAGCUUGGAUAUUCAUGUGCAGGAUAGGUGGGAGGCUAUGAUGCUAGGACGCAAGUACUAGCGGAGCCAUCCUUGAGAUACCACCCUUGAAUAUUUGAGUUACUAACUGCGUACAAUUAUCUUGUAUCAGGACAAUGUCUGGUGGGUAGUUUGACUGGGGCGGUCGCCUCCUAAAAAGUAACGGAGGCUUACAAAGGUUAGUUCAUGGCGGAUGGAAAUCGCCAGUUGAGUAUAAUGGCAUAAACUAGCUUGACUGUGAGACAUACAAGUCGAACAGAGACGAAAGUCGGUCAUAGUGAUCCGGUGGUUCUGUGUGGAAGGGCCAUCGCUCAAAGGAUAAAAGGUACGCCGGGGGUAACAGGCUGAUCUCCCCCAAGAGCUCACAUCGACGGGGAGGUUUGGCACCUCGAUGUCGGCUCAUCGCAUCCUGGGGCUGGAGUAGGUCCCAAGGGUAUGGCUGUUCGCCAUUUAAAGCGGUACGCGAGCUGGGUUCAGAACGUCGUGAGACAGUUCGGUCCCUAUCUUCCGUGGGCGUAGGAAAGUUGAAGAGAUUUGUCCCUAGUACGAGAGGACCGGGAUGAACGUACCACUGGUGUACCAAUUGUUCUGCCAAGAGCAUCGUUGGGUAGCUACGUACGGAUGUGAUAAGAGCUGAAAGCAUCUAAGCUCGAAGCCAACUCUAAGAUUAACUUUCCCUGAAGUUCCCAGCAAGACUAGCUGGUUGAUAGGCUGGAUGUGUAAGCGUUGUAAGGCGUUUAGCUGACCAGUACUAAUAGAACGUUUGGCUC
This 1451-nucleotide ribosomal RNA is filed under the name metagenome. RNAcentral describes it as "bacterial LSU rRNA". It matches the Rfam family "Bacterial large subunit ribosomal RNA", at positions 1482 to 2925 of the family's 2925-position model. The record is from RNAcentral.